AGUGCUUGAUCAUGGCUCAGAUUGAACGCUGGCGGAAUGCUUUACACAUGCAAGUCGAACGGCAGCACGGACUUCAGUCUGGUGGCGAGUGGCGAACGGGUGAGUAACAUAUCGGAACGUAUCCAAUAAUGGGGGAUAACGAGUCGAAAGAUUCGCUAAUACCGCAUACGCCCUACGGGGGAAAGCUGGGGACCUUCGGGCCUGGCGUUAAUGGAGCGGCCGAUAUCUGAUUAGCUAGUUGGUGAGGUAAAGGCUCACCAAGGCGACGAUCAGUAGCUGGUCUGAGAGGACGACCAGCCACACUGGAACUGAGACACGGUCCAGACUCCUACGGGAGGCAGCAGUGGGGAAUUUUGGACAAUGGGCGCAAGCCUGAUCCAGCCAUUCCGCGUGAGUGAAGAAGGCCUUCGGGUUGUAAAGCUCUUUCCAAGGGAAGAAAACUUACCCCU
RNAcentral lists this ribosomal RNA (449 nucleotides) under uncultured Methylophilaceae bacterium. Its description in RNAcentral is "bacterial SSU rRNA". It matches the Rfam family "Bacterial small subunit ribosomal RNA", at positions 8 to 459 of the family's 1533-position model. Lineage: Bacteria; Pseudomonadati; Pseudomonadota; Betaproteobacteria; Nitrosomonadales; Methylophilaceae. The record is from RNAcentral.